This 398-nucleotide ribosomal RNA is filed under the name Actinomyces oris. RNAcentral describes it as "bacterial SSU rRNA". It matches the Rfam family "Bacterial small subunit ribosomal RNA", at positions 381 to 774 of the family's 1533-position model. Lineage: Bacteria; Bacillati; Actinomycetota; Actinomycetes; Actinomycetales; Actinomycetaceae. The record is from RNAcentral.
ACCUGAUGCAGCGACGCCGCGUGAGGGAUGGAGGCCUUCGGGUUGUGAACCUCUUUCGCCAGUGAAGCAGGCCUGUCCCUUUUGUGGGUGGGUUGACGGUAGCUGGAUAAGAAGCGCCGGCUAACUACGUGCCAGCAGCCGCGGUAAUACGUAGGGCGCGAGCGUUGUCCGGAAUUAUUGGGCGUAAAGAGCUCGUAGGCGGCUGGUCGCGUCUGUCGUGAAAUCCUCUGGCUUAACUGGGGGCUUGCGGUGGGUACGGGCCGGCUUGAGUGCGGUAGGGGAGACUGGAACUCCUGGUGUAGCGGUGGAAUGCGCAGAUAUCAGGAAGAACACCGGUGGCGAAGGCGGGUCUCUGGGCCGUUACUGACGCUGAGGAGCGAAAGCGUGGGGAGCGAACA